RNAcentral lists this long non-coding RNA (351 nucleotides) under Setaria italica (foxtail millet). RNAcentral describes it as "long non-coding RNA (SITA_LNC000974)". The record is from RNAcentral. Lineage: Eukaryota; Viridiplantae; Streptophyta; Magnoliopsida; Poales; Poaceae.
UGCUAGUUGCACCGGAUGUUCUGAUGCAGGCCAAAAAUAAACCAUCGGAACAUCCGAUGGUAUACAUUUUCACUAGCCGUUGGAGCAACGGCUCUUUGAGCCUUUGGGGCUAUUUAUACCCCACCACUCGUCCAUUUAGAGUGGCUGGAGUGUCAAGGGAUGCAUUGAAGACCAAGACUCAUAAAGAAGACAUCCAAACUACCAAAAGUGCUUAAGUGAUACAUCAAAGGCUUAGCACAAGCUUAGGAGAGUGAUUAGUGCUAGGAUAGGCCUUCAGAGGAGUGAGUGCAAGGUGUGCUAACCUUGUGAUCAAGUUCUAGAGUGAACCACCGCUGUCAACAGGUGUGCCGG